CUGUGGCUGAGACCCGGCUCUGGCUUCUGCCACUGGGGCACAGACUGGGAGGGCAGCCCUGGCACCACCGUGUCAUUUAUCCCACAGAAUGACUGAAUCCUUUUUGGAGCCAAGUAAGGACCAGCUCUCCCCCUGAGACCACAAGCAACAUAAAUUCACAGUUGGCCUUUUUCUCUGCUCUGCCUUACUGAAUGACAGCUACAGUUCUCAGUGCCUCUUCUGUACCCUGAAAUGUAUUUAUACCUCUCUUUUGAAAAAUGAGAAGAGAAUACUCUGUGCCCCACAUAAGACUGAAGUUCAACAUAACUGAGGAAGAACUGAAGAAUAUUAAACCUGAAAAGUCAAAUUUCUGUCCAACCUUACAGCUACUUUUGAACAUCUAAGGGAAACCACCUAUGAGCACCUCCACAAAGCAGGGACCUGCAAAACUAAGCAUUAGUCAAAUCAGUAGUAGAGACUUAGUGCAGAUCCUUCUGCGUGGUUCUGGGAAUCAGUCAGAAAUUAACGGAAUUCAAGCAUUCCUCAGUCUGAGGAAUUUGUUUGCUUCUGAAACACUUCCCGUCGUGCCCCAGUCCCUUCUGGGCCCAGCCUACCUGGGCUUCAAACCUGGCUUCUGUCUGCUGGUGCCUCGCACAGCACGCACAGAAAAACCCGGAUGGGCAGGAAUUACAACAGUCAGGCACAGACUCACCACAGAAUCCCAGCAGAAUGAGAAAACACUCUUCUGCCCAUACCCAAGAUACCGCAGAACUCCAGAAUCAGGACUCUGAGGGAAAAAUGCAGGUGUAACAAGAACUUGAGUGCAGAACCCUUGGUUGGCUUUUUUCAAAACCUUGCUAAGAGAUGUGGCCUAUUUAUUAGUUGUGAAAUACAAACCACGUUAUCAACCAUCUUAAGGAAAUGGAUUGAUGUUAAGUGAUACUUGAGAAUCCGCCCCGUAGCAAAGCUCCCACACCAGCACAGACAGAUAAGCAGAAAAUCCUUCCUGCAAACACCGUGGCUGUCCUGAUACAACAUAAACCUGGAGGUCUGAAACCACUGACAUGACUUAUGGGCCUGGAACACUUUGCUACACGUGGAACUGAUGAGAAAAGAACAAUUCCUAAUUCAGAGCUUUCAGGAUGCUGACAAUCCUCGGGUCAGCCAGCCCUGUGUGCCACGGAGCCAGUCCUCCUGCACAUCUCUCCUGGUGCCUCCUGCAGUUCCACAGGGACCUGGGGGUACAGCUCAGAACUAAAGAUUUAGAAGUUUCUCAGCACCUCUACUUCCACUUCCAGAUAAAUCCUAUAAUUAACACAGCAACAGGCUCCAAGAUCACCUGUGAAAUCUUAACAGCCAGGAUUCAAAAAGUCCUUUGGAUCCAUGGACAUGCAAGCUGAAAAAGAAAGCCCAAAGCAGCUCCUCUGCAUGAAAAAAAAUAUUCAGAGACACAGUAAACAAAAAGAGCAGUAUGGCCAUGGAUGCACAAUGAUGCAUGGAAACAAAGGAAAGGUGAGGAGACGGCAAACAUCACCCUGGAAAGCAGGAGUGGAAAAGUCUCUCCUAUCUCUACAAGCAGCUGGGGAUGAUUCGCAGUAGAUUUUUCUGUAAUAAAAUUCCCUCACGUUUCCUUACUUGGAAAACUCAGUUUAUAGGUCAGUUAACAAGUAUUAAAACCACAAGAGAACAUGAAACGCACCACCUUUUCCUUUUGAUCCUUUUCCCUUUUGGAUGGAAGUUUUGAAGUUGGGAAUAUAAAAUCCCUGAAUUUUUGUUAUGUUUUAUGCCUCCACGAAGGCAUUAAAACGGCAGUUUGUGGGCUGAAGAAAUAUCCCCUAAGUGGCAGGGAAUUAAAGCAAGCUGUCCCGAGCACAGCCCUGCUCGCCAGGUGUGCUGCUGCCCAAAUGGAACACCUCAUUUACAAAACAAAUCUGCCGCCAAAAUUACCUGCCCCUCUUGAUUGCUGCAAAUGGUUUUCAUCUAGCUGCACUGCUCUCCCCCGAUUUACAGCCCCGGCUCCGGGAGCCGUGACAGGCGAAGAGGAGCAGCAGCGUCGUUUCCCAGCCCUCGCAACGCCCGGGCUCCGGCCCUGGGUGUCCCCGCGUUAGGGCCGCGUCCCGCUGGGCACGGACAGAACCCACCCCCGGCACGGAUCUGCCUUGCCUUAAAGGUUCUAAAGGCCCCGUGCUCUCGCAGGAUGCUUCAGUUUUGAAAUCUAUCAAAGGAAUCUCAAAACAAAUUACAUGGUAAAUUAUUAUCUGUGUUCUGGCCUCCUCUCUACACCCCACUGUUCGGCAUGAAUGGCGAUGGGAGAGCCCUUGUGAAAGGCAGCCAGAUAAGCAGAUUACAGGAUGUCAGGUGCCUCGGGCUGCUCGGGCUUUCACAGCCCAACUUCGCGGCACGGUCCGUUCAUCUCCCCAACGUGGGUCACAGGCUAUUUCAAUUAAUGCACCUCUAAUGACCAACAUUUGUUCCUUAAUGGGAAAGGAAUAAAUGUGGAAUACACAAAACAGCCACAGAGAGCAAAACAUUCUCCGCUCGCUCUCCCCAGCCUCGCCGUGUUUGGCUUCUCCAACCAACUCGCAGAGAGGGGAAACGGGCUUGUGAGGAAUAGAGAAUUUCUAUCAGAAAGAAACCUUUUAUGUAGCUUUCCUAUCAUUACCCACGCAUUUCUGGCAGCUCUCAGUGUCCUCUAGAUCCCAGCGCGCUGCCUAACAAGACCUGCUAUGAAAACAGAAUGCAGAAAACAAAUUAGCAUUUUGGAAAUAAAAAGCCUGGCUUUUAAUCCUAU
Long non-coding RNA from Corvus hawaiiensis (hawaiian crow), 2770 nucleotides. RefSeq lists it as uncharacterized. The record is from RefSeq and is a predicted model, not a curated record. NCBI's taxonomy places the organism in Eukaryota, Metazoa, Chordata, Aves, Passeriformes, Corvidae. The transcript is spliced from 6 exons.